Molecule: ribosomal RNA, 458 nt
Filed under: uncultured bacterium
Lineage: Bacteria
Description: partial 16S ribosomal RNA
Rfam family: Bacterial small subunit ribosomal RNA
Source: RNAcentral
CCUACGGGAGGCAGCAGUGGGGAAUAUUGGGCAAUGGAGGCAACUCUGACCCAGCAACGCCGCGUGAGUGAAGAAGUAUUUCGGUAUGUAAAGCUCUAUCAGCAGGGAAGAAAUAGCGACCUUUGGGUCGCCAGACGGUACCUGAUUAAGAAGCCCCGGCUAACUACGUGCCAGCAGCCGCGGUAAUACGUAGGGGGCAAGCGUUAUCCGGAUUUACUGGGUGUAAAGGGAGCGUAGACGGCAGCGCAAGUCUGAAGUGAAAUGCCGGGGCUUAACCCCGGAACUGCUUUGGAAACUGUGCAGCUAGAGUGCAGGAGAGGUAAGUGGAAUUCCUAGUGUAGCGGUGAAAUGCGUAGAUAUUAGGAGGAACACCAGUGGCGAAGGCGGCUUACUGGACUGUAACUGACGUUGAGGCUCGAAAGCGUGGGGAGCAAACAGGAUUAGAUACCCUUGUAGUC